GGAGGGCAGAUCCAAGGGCAGAUCCACAGGGCAGAGUGGAGGGCAGAUCCAUAGGGCAGAGUGGAGGGUAGAAUGGAGGGCAGAGUGGAGGGCUGAUCCAUAGGGCAGAUCCACAGGGCAGAGUGGAGGGCAGAUCCAUAGGGCAGAGUGGAGGGCAGAGUGGAGUGCAGAGUGGAGGCAGAUCCAUAGGGCAGAGUGGAGGGCAGAUCCAUAGGGCAGAGUGGAGGGCAGAUCCAUGGAGGGCAGAUCCAGAGUGGAGGGCAGAUCCAUAGGGUAGAGUGGAGGGCAGAGUGGAGAGCAGAUCCAUAGGGUAGAGUGGAGGGCAGAUCCAUAGGGUAGAGUGGAGGGCAGAGUGGAGGGCAGAGUGGAGGGCAGAUCCAUAGGGCAGAGUGGAGGGCAGAUCCAUAGGGCAGAGUGGAGGGCAGAUGGAGGGCAGAGUGGAGGGCAGAUCCAUAGGGCAGAGUGGAGGGCAGAGUGGAGGGCAGAUCCAAAGGGUAGAGUGGAGGGCUGAUCCAUAGGGCAGAUCCAUAGGGCAGAGUGGAGGGCAGAUCCAUAGGGCAGAGUGGAGGGCAGAUGGAUAGGGCAGAGUGGAGG
Molecule: long non-coding RNA, 594 nt
Organism: Oncorhynchus tshawytscha (Chinook salmon)
Lineage: Eukaryota; Metazoa; Chordata; Actinopteri; Salmoniformes; Salmonidae
Source: Ensembl